CCCUCCUACAAAGGCGUGUCUUUGGUUCCCAGUCUUUGGAGGAAAAGAAAUGUGGAUUUGGAGAAAUGUGGAUUUGGAGAAGUGUGGGGCCAGCUUGCUCCUCCAGGACUCCAAGCAAUCAUUCCACAUAG
Molecule: small nucleolar RNA, 131 nt
Organism: Spermophilus dauricus (Daurian ground squirrel)
Lineage: Eukaryota; Metazoa; Chordata; Mammalia; Rodentia; Sciuridae
Source: Ensembl